UACAGAGGUCUCAAGCGUUGUUCGGAUUCAUUGGGCGUAAAGGGUGCGUAGGCGGCGCGGUAAGUCGGGUGUGAAAUCUUGGAGCUUAACUCCGAAACUGCAUUCGAUACUGCCGUGCUUGAGGACUGGAGAGGAGACUGGAAUUUACGGUGUAGCGGUGAAAUGCGUAGAUAUCGUAAGGAAGAUCAGUGGCGAAGGCGGGUCUCUGGACAGUUCCUGACGCUGAGGCACGAAGGUCAGGGGAGCAAACGGG
Molecule: ribosomal RNA, 253 nt
Filed under: uncultured bacterium
Lineage: Bacteria
Description: partial 16S ribosomal RNA
Rfam family: Bacterial small subunit ribosomal RNA
Source: RNAcentral